Molecule: ribosomal RNA, 637 nt
Filed under: uncultured bacterium
Lineage: Bacteria
Description: bacterial SSU rRNA
Rfam family: Bacterial small subunit ribosomal RNA (bases 1-544)
Source: RNAcentral
CCUACGGGAGGCAGCAGUGGGGAAUUUUGGACAAUGGGGGCAACCCUGAUCCAGCCAUUCCGCGUGAGUGAAGAAGGCCUUCGGGUUGUAAAGCUCUUUCGCAAGGGAAGAAAACUUAUGAUCGAAUAAAUCAUGAGGUUGACGGUACCUUGAUAAGAAGCACCGGCUAACUACGCGCCAGCAGCCGCGGUAAUACGUAGGGUGCGAGCGUUAAUCGGAAUUACUGGGCGUAAAGCGUGCGCAGGCGGUUUUGUAAGUCGGAUGUGAAAUCCCCGGGCUCAACCUGGGAACUGCGUUCGAAACUGCAAGGCUAGAGUGUGUCAGAGGGGGGUAGAAUUCCACGUGUAGCAGUGAAAUGCGUAGAGAUGUGGAGGAAUACCAAUGGCGAAGGCAGCCCCCUGGGAUAACACUGACGCUCAUGCACGAAAGCGUGGGGAGCAAACAGGAUUAGAUACCCUGGUAGUCCACGCCCUAAACGAUGUCAACUAGUUGUUGGUAGAGUAAAAUCUAUGAGUAACGUAGCUAACGCGUGAAGUUGACCGCCUGGGGGAGGUACGGUCGGCGAAGUAAGUUAAAGUUACGAAGUAAAGUUAAGUUAGGACGNGNGAGNGCGACGACGACGACGACGGAGGAGGAG